This 1396-nucleotide unclassified non-coding RNA is filed under the name uncultured Neocallimastigales. RNAcentral's name for it is "partial contains small subunit ribosomal RNA, internal transcribed spacer 1, 5.8S ribosomal RNA, internal transcribed spacer 2, and large subunit ribosomal RNA". The stretch from base 618 to 1396 matches the Rfam family "Eukaryotic large subunit ribosomal RNA", at positions 1 to 629 of the family's 3401-position model. Lineage: Eukaryota; Fungi; Neocallimastigomycota; Neocallimastigomycetes; Neocallimastigales. The record is from RNAcentral.
CCGUAGGUGAACCUGCGGAAGGAUCAUUAAUAAAUGGUCUGCGUUUUUUAAGUAGACGCUUAAUAAUCCUACCCUUUGUGAAUUUGUUUGUUUUGAAAUAAUUUUUUUUAAAAUUAUUGAUGUCUUUCCCUGUUGAAUUGGUUGUCUAAUGGCAAGUGAUUCGCAGGGGAGUGUCAUAAUUUUUAAAAAGACCUUUUUUUAAAUUAAACUUUUGUAUUCAUUUGUCUAAAAUUAUUUUUAUAAUAUAAAACCAACUUUUGACAAUGGAUCUCUUGGUUCUCGCAACGAUGAAGAACGCAGCAAAAUGCGAUAAGUAGUGUGAAUUGCAGAAUACGUGAAUCAUCGAAUCUUCGAACGCAUAUUGCACUUUUUUAGUUUACUAAAAAAGUAUGUCUGUUUGAGUAUCAGUAAAAUAUUCUCAUAAAAAACAUUGUUUUUUUAUGGUUAUGAGUGUUUUACAACGAUACAAGUUGUUUCACUUUAAAUUUUUUAAAAUUUGAAUUUUUCUAAUUUUAAAAUAAAAUGGAUAAAAUUUUCCCGUAAAAAAGGAAUAACCUAAACAAUUUUAGUUUUUUGAUUAGAAUUUUUCAUUAUAAAGGAAAAUUUAAUAAAUAACUUGAUCUCAAAUCAGAUAAGAGUACCCGCUGAACUUAAGCAUAUCAAUAAGCGGAGGAAAAGAAACUAACAAGGAUUCCCUUAGUAACGGCGAGUGAAGCGGGAAGAGCUCAAAUUUGAAAUCUUCAAGGUUUUACCUUGACGAAUUGUAGUUUAAAGAAGUGUUUUCUGUUGAAGUUUUGGUAAAAGUUCUUUGGAAUAGGACAUCAUAGAGGGUGAGAAUCCCGUAUUUGACCAUUAUUUUCAGCUGUGUGAUACACUUUCAAAGAGUCGGAUUGUUUGGGAAUGCAGUCCAAAAUGGGUGGUAAAUUUCAUCUAAAGCUAAAUAUUGGCGAGAGACCGAUAGCGAACAAGUACCGUGAGGGAAAGAUGAAAAGAACUUUGAAAAGAGAGUUAAACAGUACGUGAAAUUGUCAAAAGGGAAGCGUUUGACACCAGUGUUGUUUUCUCGAAAAUCAAUUAAAAAAAGUUGGAUUUUGUGUUGUAUUGACCUUAACAGCUUGCUUCACUCUUUACCUGCUCUUUUUAAUGCACUUUUCGUUUAACAAGUCAACAUCAGUUUCUUUUGUUGUAAAAGGGUCAUUGGAAGGUGGCUUUCUCUUCGGAGAAAGUGUUUAUAGCCUUUGAUCUCUGCAAUCGGAGAGACUGAGGUCUGCAGCGUAGAUCCUUCGGGGUUAGAUACAUUUGUGCUAAGCUACAGCUUUUCAUAGACAACUUGUUGACUAUGUUUAGUCUUGUGACUUACCCGCUUAUGCUAUUUUACCUACGCUUAGGAUGUUGA